This 491-nucleotide ribosomal RNA is filed under the name uncultured bacterium. RNAcentral describes it as "partial 16S ribosomal RNA". It matches the Rfam family "Bacterial small subunit ribosomal RNA", at positions 29 to 506 of the family's 1533-position model. The record is from RNAcentral.
AGUGAACGCUGGCGGUAGGCCUAACACAUGCAAGUCGAACGGCAGCACAGUAAGAGCUUGCUCUUACGGGUGGCGAGUGGCGGACGGGUGAGGAAUACAUCGGAAUCUACUUUUUCGUGGGGGAUAACGUAGGGAAACUUACGCUAAUACCGCAUACGACCUACGGGUGAAAGCAGGGGAUCUUCGGACCUUGCGCAAUUGAAUGAGCCGAUGUCGGAUUAGCUAGUUGGCGGGGUAAAGGCCCACCAAGGCGACGAUCCGUAGCUGGUCUGAGAGGAUGAUCAGCCAAACUGGAACUGAGACACGGUCCAGACUCCUACGGGAGGCAGCAGUGGGGAAUAUUGGACAAUGGGCGCAAGCCUGAUCCAGCCAUACCGCGUGGGUGAAGAAGGCCUUCGGGUUGUAAAGCCCUUUUGUUGGGAAAGAAAAGCAGCAGGUUAAUACCCCGCUGUUCUGACGGUACCCAAAGAAUAAGCACCGGCUAACUUCGU